RNAcentral lists this ribosomal RNA (681 nucleotides) under Escherichia sp. RNAcentral describes it as "bacterial SSU rRNA". It matches the Rfam family "Bacterial small subunit ribosomal RNA", at positions 763 to 1444 of the family's 1533-position model. The record is from RNAcentral. Lineage: Bacteria; Pseudomonadati; Pseudomonadota; Gammaproteobacteria; Enterobacterales; Enterobacteriaceae.
GGGGAGCAAACAGGAUUAGAUACCCUGGUAGUCCACGCCGUAAACGAUGUCGACUUGGAGGUUGUGCCCUUGAGGCGUGGCUUCCGGAGCUAACGCGUUAAGUCGACCGCCUGGGGAGUACGGCCGCAAGGUUAAAACUCAAAUGAAUUGACGGGGGCCCGCACAAGCGGUGGAGCAUGUGGUUUAAUUCGAUGCAACGCGAAGAACCUUACCUGGUCUUGACAUCCACGGAACUUUCCAGAGAUGAGAAGGUGCCUUCGGGAACCGUGAGACAGGUGCUGCAUGGCUGUCGUCAGCUCGUGUUGUGAAAUGUUGGGUUAAGUCCCGCAACGAGCGCAACCCUUAUCCUUUGUUGCCAGCGGUCCGGCCGGGAACUCAAAGGAGACUGCCAGUGAUAAACUGGAGGAAGGUGGGGAUGACGUCAAGUCAUCAUGGCCCUUACGACCAGGGCUACACACGUGCUACAAUGGCGCAUACAAAGAGAAGCGACCUCGCGAGAGCAAGCGGACCUCAUAAAGUGCGUCGUAGUCCGGAUUGGAGUCUGCAACUCGACUCCAUGAAGUCGGAAUCGCUAGUAAUCGUGGAUCAGAAUGCCACGGUGAAUACGUUCCCGGGCCUUGUACACACCGCCCGUCACACCAUGGGAGUGGGUUGCAAAAGAAGUAGGUAGCUUAACCUUCG